Molecule: long non-coding RNA, 578 nt
Organism: Episyrphus balteatus (marmalade hoverfly)
Lineage: Eukaryota; Metazoa; Arthropoda; Insecta; Diptera; Syrphidae
Exons: 2
Source: RefSeq, a predicted model, not a curated record
UUCAUUUAAGCUUUUGGAAUUUUGGAGAGCAUGGCCGACUAUCGUACAAGGUAACGAUCCGUUGCCACGUAAGCCUGCCUUGCUAACCAUGGCUCAUUGCUGAAGGUGGCUCUAAAGCCAUUUGCAACAAAUAUUUGGAAACUAUAUUGAAUAUUUUAAAAGUGAGCAUCAUGACUCUAACAUGAAUUCAAUUGUUCGUAAUGGUGGAGAUGAAAAAUAUGCCGCUGAUACCACCCUUACUGGAAAGGAGAAUAACAUGCUUGUUUUUGGGAGGAAACAUCAAGUGUAGUGUACUUUCUUAUCCAGAAGUCUUCCUGGUGUAAUGGUAAAGUUGAGCAUGAAGUUGAUUUUGUACAGAAAGCAGCUCGUUAUCACUAGUUUAGUUCGUAGAGACUGCAAUCUUCCAAAUAAGAUAAAAUCUGAAGCCUUUCUUCACGGAUUCUCAGCCCAACAACAAUGCGAUUCUGUUCGAAAAUUAUUUUGGACAAAGAACCAGGUCAAGGAUGUGCUGUUUUGGGUAAAUUUGACUUGUGUUUCUUUAUAAAAAUAAAAAUUAAAAUUAAAAAUUGUAUAAAUAA